Bufo bufo (common toad) is the source of this 378-nucleotide long non-coding RNA. RefSeq lists it as uncharacterized. Lineage: Eukaryota; Metazoa; Chordata; Amphibia; Anura; Bufonidae. The record is from RefSeq and is a predicted model, not a curated record. The transcript has 2 exons.
GUGUAUAUCGUACAGGAGCUCUGUAUAUAUUAUAGCUAUAUAUCGUACAGGAGCUCUGUAUAUAUUAUAGCUAUAUAUCGUACAGGAGCUCUGUAUAUAUUAUAGCUAUAUAUCGUACAGGAGCUCUGUAUAUAUUAUAGCUAUAUAUCACACAGGAGGUCUGUAUAUAUUAUAGCUAUAUAUCGUACAGGAGCUCUGUAUAUAUUAUAGCUAUAUAUCACACAGGAGGUCUGUAUAUAUUAUAGCUAUAUAUCGUACAAGAGGUCUGUAUAUAUUAUAGCUAUAUAUCACACAGGAGGUCUGUAUAUAUUAUAGCUAUAUAUCAUACAGGAUUGCUUAUAUUAUACUUAUAUGAUAGGCAGAUAAUUUAUACCGCUU